UUGAAGUCUUUAUUGAAUUUGUUACAAUAUCUCUUCUGCUUUAUGUUUUGGUUUUUUGGCCUUGAGGCAUGUGGGAUCCUAGCUCCCCUACCAGGGAUCGAACCCACGCCCCUGCACUGGAAGGUGAAGUCCCAACCACUGGACCGCUAGGGAAGUCCCUGACCCCAGUUUUUAAUACUUUUUCCUUUUGCUCUUGCAGAGGUCCCUUCCCCAGGCCUGGAGACCAGGUGCUUUGGGCCACACUGACCUUGGAAAUGGAGGUCAGCACAGUCGGCAUCGGCAUGGCACUGCCCAUUGUCCUGCAGGCAGCGGUCGAUGGGCAGCUGCUCCAGUUCACAGUCCAGCCCGUCUCCCACAUUAACAAAUGGAAACUCAGAGCUUAACUGACCUGACAAAGGCAAACCAGCUACAACGUGGAGGGGCUGGGAUUUAAACCCAGAGUGCUGGCAGCCACUUGAGCCCCUGAGAGCAUAUGAACACGAGGACAAAAGGCCUCAGCCUAAGGCUGGCGGAGCAGAAAGACAGAACCCGGGUCUUUGCUGCCACUGCCGAUGCUGAGCUACUUCUAGACUGCCUCGUAGCAGAUCACAAAACAACAGGUGGCAUGAGCAGAACACGGAGGCAGGCACACGAGGGGCAAAGCUGCAGAGAAAGAGGUCACCGUCCAUCCCGCACCAGGAUGUGAACGGUUGGGACCCACCUAAGGCAUCCUCCCGAGACCCCAUGUGGCCUGCCACUGUGUUGCAAAAGUGGCCCCUUAUGGCGGGCAGAUGGGGUGAUUUGCUAAGGUGCCUCCCAGCCUGGAGAUUCUGAGAUUCCGGAAUCACUCCUCUGUAUUAUUAAGACAUUAUUUCCGAAAUGUUAUCCAGAUUAAAAUGCAAAUAUGUUACCCUUAGGGGCAACCAAUGAACACUUUAUACCUCAGAGCCCGCCAGCAAGGGUGAAUUUAGCAGAUUAGCUCUUUGGCCCUAAGGGCAUGGGGUGCCAGAGGAGAUGGUUAAAUUGGAGGAGAAGUUCCAAGGCCUUCUGUGGGCACUGCAGAGCUUGGGAGAAGUCUGGGGCUUUGGUGACUGGAAGGGGCUGCGGUAUCAAGAGGCAG
Non-coding RNA from Kogia breviceps (pygmy sperm whale), 1099 nucleotides. The record is from RefSeq and is a predicted model, not a curated record. NCBI's taxonomy places the organism in Eukaryota, Metazoa, Chordata, Mammalia, Artiodactyla, Physeteridae.